UACGGAGGGGGCAAGCGUUGUUCGGAAUUACUGGGCGUAAAGGGCGCGUAGGCGGCCAUCUAAGUCAGACGUGAAAUCCCCCGGCUUAACCUGGGAACUGCGUCUGAUACUGGACGGCUUGAGUAUGGGAGAGGGAUGUAGAAUUCCAGGUGUAGCGGUGAAAUGCGUAGAUAUCUGGAGGAAUACCGGUGGCGAAGGCGGCAUCCUGGACCAUUACUGACGCUGAGGCGCGAAAGCUAGGGGAGCAAACGGG
This 253-nucleotide ribosomal RNA is filed under the name uncultured bacterium. Its description in RNAcentral is "partial 16S ribosomal RNA". It matches the Rfam family "Bacterial small subunit ribosomal RNA", at positions 524 to 776 of the family's 1533-position model. The record is from RNAcentral.